Molecule: ribosomal RNA, 492 nt
Filed under: uncultured bacterium
Lineage: Bacteria
Description: partial 16S ribosomal RNA
Rfam family: Bacterial small subunit ribosomal RNA
Source: RNAcentral
AGUGAACGCUGGCGGUAUGCCUAAUACAUGCAAGUCGAACGGCAGCACAGUAAGAUCUUGCUUUUGAUGUUAGCGAGUGGCGGGCGGGUAAGAAGUACAUCAGAAUCUUCUUUUUCUUGGGGAAUAUCGGGGAGAAGCUUACACUACUAGCUCAUACUUUCUACGGGUUGGUUCAGAAGUGCUUGGCAGUUUUCCCGAUUCUUUUAGCCGAUGUCGGAUUAGCUAGUUGGCGUGGUAAAGGCCCACCAAGGCGACGAUCCGUGGCUGAUCUGAGAGGAUGAUCAGCCACACUGGAACUGAGACACGGUCCAGACUCCUACGGGAGGCAGCAGUGGGGAAUAUUGGACAAUGGGCGAAAGCCUGAUCCAGCAAUACCGCGUGGGUGAAGAAGGCCUUCGGGUUGUAAAGCCCUGUUGUUGGGAAAGAAAAGCAGCAGGUUAAUACCCCGCUGUUCUGACGGUACCCAAAGAAUAAGCACCGGCUAACUUCGUG